This 465-nucleotide ribosomal RNA is filed under the name uncultured bacterium. RNAcentral describes it as "partial 16S ribosomal RNA". It matches the Rfam family "Bacterial small subunit ribosomal RNA", at positions 338 to 795 of the family's 1533-position model. The record is from RNAcentral.
CCUACGGGAGGCAGCAGUGGGGAAUUUUGCGCAAUGCUCGUAAGAGUGACGCAGCGACGCCGCGUGAAUGACGAAGGCCUUCGGGUCGUAAAGUUCUUUCGACAGGGAAGAAAAUGCCUAUAAGUAACUGUGUAUGUAUUGACGGUACCUGUAUAAGCAGCCCCGGCUAACUCCGUGCCAGCAGCCGCGGUAAUACGGAGGGGGCGAGCGUUGUUCGGAGUGACUGGGCGGAAGGAGCACGUAGGCGGUGUUGUAAGUCAUUAGUCAAAGACUAGAGCUCAACUUUAGUAAGGCUAGUGAUACUAUAAUACGAGAGUAUCAGAGAGGAUUGCAGAAUUCCUGGUGUAGCGGUGAAAUGCGUAGAUAUCAGGAGGAAUACCGUUAGCGAAGGCGGCAAUCUGGCUGGAAACUGACGCUGAGGUGCGAAAGCGUGGGUAGCAAACAGGAUUAGAUACCCGAGUAGUC